GACGCAGCUAACGCAUUAAGCGCCCCGCCUGGGGAGUACGAUCGCAAGAUUAAAACUCAAAGGAAUUGACGGGGCCCCGCACAAGCAGCGGAGCAUUGCGGCUUAAUUCGACGCAACGCGAAGAACCUUACCAAGGCUUGACAUAUACAGGAAUACGGCAGAAGAUGUCGUAGCCGCAAGGUCUGUAUACAGGUGGUGCAUGGUUGUCGUCAGCUCGUGUCGUGAGAUGUUGGGUUAAGUCCCGCAACGAGCGCAACCCUCGUUCUGUGUUGCCAGCAUUUAGUUGGGGACUCACAGGAGACUGCCGGGGUUAACUCGGAGGAAGGUGGGGAUGACGUCAAAUCAUCAUGCCCCUUAUGUCUUGGGCUGCACGCAUGCUACAAUGGCUGGUACAAACGGCUGCAAUACCGCAAGGUGGAGCGAAUCCGAGAAAGCCAGUCUCAGUUCGGAUUGGGGUCUGCAACUCGACCCCAUGAAGUCGGAGUUGCUAGUAAUCGUAGAUCAGCAACGCUACGGUGAAUACGUUCCCGGGGCUUGUACACACCGCCCGUCACAUCACGAAAGUCGGUAACACCCA
RNAcentral lists this ribosomal RNA (577 nucleotides) under uncultured Actinomycetes bacterium. RNAcentral's name for it is "bacterial SSU rRNA". It matches the Rfam family "Bacterial small subunit ribosomal RNA", at positions 845 to 1423 of the family's 1533-position model. Lineage: Bacteria; Bacillati; Actinomycetota; Actinomycetes. The record is from RNAcentral.